Molecule: transfer RNA, 74 nt
Filed under: Fukomys damarensis (Damara mole-rat)
Lineage: Eukaryota; Metazoa; Chordata; Mammalia; Rodentia; Bathyergidae
Rfam family: tRNA
About the family: Transfer RNA (tRNA) molecules are approximately 80 nucleotides in length.
Source: Rfam by way of RNAcentral
GGAUGUGUGCAGCUCAGCGGUAGAGCACUUGCCUGGUAGGCACAAGGUCCUGGGUUAGAGUUCCAGCACUGUCU